RNAcentral lists this ribosomal RNA (253 nucleotides) under uncultured bacterium. RNAcentral describes it as "partial 16S ribosomal RNA". It matches the Rfam family "Bacterial small subunit ribosomal RNA", at positions 524 to 776 of the family's 1533-position model. The record is from RNAcentral.
UACGUAGGCAGCAAGCGUUGUUCGGAAUUACUGGGCGUAAAGAGUGUGUAGGCGGUGCUCUAAGUUCGGUGUGAAAUCUCCUGGCUCAACUGGGAGGGUGCGCCGGAAACUGGGGUGCUGGAGCGCGGGAGAGGAAAGCGGAAUUCCUGGUGUAGCGGUGAAAUGCGUAGAUAUCAGGAGGAACACCGGCGGUGUAGACGGCUUUCUGGACCGUAGCUGACGCUGAGACACGAAAGCGUGGGGAGCGAACAGG